GAUCCGACAGGUGACAGGUAUGCAUUCAGAUGAUGCAGCUCUAAAGAAGUGUAGUAUUUGGCACUAGGCUUCACGGAUUGUUCGAGAAGAAGGCUUCGGGGCAUUUUGGAAAGGCAACCUAGUGACAAUUGUACACCGGUUACCUUAUUCUGUCAUGAGCUUCUAUUCAUAUGAGCAAUACAAAAAGGUCCUCAGAAUGGUGCCUGGCCAAGACGACCCAAAUUAUGCUGGUGUUGUGUGAAUCUGCUUGGUGGUGGUUUGGAAGGAGUCACAGCGGCAUCUGUAACCUUACCCUUUGGACGUUGUUUCUCACUGAAUGCAUAGUACAAGUCUCAGAUGCAACCCUUUUUUUUGCAGGGCAUAUGCUGCUGUCUUAUUUCUAGAAAACUGGCGAAUGUUUUAUGAUAGUACUAGAUACCUUGCCGAGGAACUCGUGCUGUGUACUGUGAGGGUACUUGGUAGUAGUAAAUUUUUAGUAGCCUGAUGUGUCAUGGAUGUUUGGAACAUUGGCCUUGUCAUCGUCGGAGGGGACGAGAUGGCGCCAAACGAGUCCCAGCUUCGAAUUAAAACAAAUGAAUUUCCUCUAUCUUAUU
Lolium perenne is the source of this 593-nucleotide non-coding RNA. The record is from RefSeq and is a predicted model, not a curated record. Lineage: Eukaryota; Viridiplantae; Streptophyta; Magnoliopsida; Poales; Poaceae.